This 253-nucleotide ribosomal RNA is filed under the name uncultured bacterium. RNAcentral's name for it is "partial 16S ribosomal RNA". It matches the Rfam family "Bacterial small subunit ribosomal RNA", at positions 524 to 776 of the family's 1533-position model. The record is from RNAcentral.
UACGGAGGGUGCAAGCGUUGUUCGGAAUUAUUGGGCGUAAAGGGCGCGUAGGCUGUUGUGUAAGUCAGAUGUGAAAUACUUCGGCUUAACCGAAGAACUGCAUUUGAAACUGCACAGCUAGAGUACAGGAGAGGGAAAUGGAAUUCCCGGUGUAGAGGUGAAAUUCGUAGAUAUCGGGAGGAACACCAGUGGCGAAGGCGAUUUCCUGGCCUGAUACUGACGCUGAGGCGCGAAAGCGUGGGGAGCAAACAGG